This 433-nucleotide ribosomal RNA is filed under the name uncultured bacterium. Its description in RNAcentral is "partial 16S ribosomal RNA". It matches the Rfam family "Bacterial small subunit ribosomal RNA", at positions 29 to 507 of the family's 1533-position model. The record is from RNAcentral.
AACGAACGCUGGCGGCAUGCCUAACACAUGCAAGUCGAACGAGACCUUCGGGUCUGGUGGCGCAUGGGUGCGUAACGCGUGGGAACCUGCCCUUAGGUUCGGAAUAACUCUUCGAAAGGGGUGCUAAUACCGGAUAAUGUCUUCGGACCAAAGAUUUAUCGCCUUUGGAUGGGCCCGCGUUGGAUUAGCUAGGUGGUAGGGUAAGAGCCUACCAAGGCGUCGAUCCAUAGCUGGGCUGAGAGGAUGAUCAGCCACACUGGGACUGAGACACGGCCGAGACUCCUACAGGAGGCAGCAGUGGGGAAUAUUGGACAAUGGGCGGAAGCCUGAACCAGCAAUGCCGCGUGAGUGAUGUAGGCCUUAGGGUUGUAAAGCUCUUUUACCCGGGAUGAUAAUGACGGUACCGGGAGAAUAAGCACCGGCUAACUCCGUG